UUUGGUGUGUAACCGCUCGAAUCGGGUUUUCAAACUUUAAAAGUACCUUGAUUUGGCGAGUCUUAAAAAUGAG
This is a regulatory RNA element of Finegoldia magna ATCC 29328, 73 nucleotides long. The record is from Rfam. NCBI's taxonomy places the organism in Bacteria, Bacillati, Bacillota, Tissierellia, Tissierellales, Peptoniphilaceae.